UGGAGCGGACGGAAGAGGGCUGGACGCCCAGAGGCGGUGGCCACGUACCCCCGCGUCUGCGCGGCUUCUUCGGGAAGAACGCCCGCAGCCCGGCGCCGUCGAGAGGUCUGACUAGAGACCGGCCCUCGACCCCUCAGGCACUCGCUCCAUCCUGGCCUGCGGGCCUACCCUGCUGCUCAAUCCGAGUGCGAGAAGCCUGCCCCUAGCUUUUUGUUUUGUUUUGUUUCCACUCGGUGCCAUUGCGCUUUCUGCAAGACCACCUAAAUGCGAGAUCGAGUUGACUGCCUCGGCAGCCCCUGUAGCCAGGCACUGUGGCAUGAGUUCACCGUACAGCCAUACAACAGUGAAACUUAUUUAAGAAAUGGUCUCGUGUAACCCUGGCCGCCCUGGAACUGACCUCGAACUCAGAUGAUCGCCAUCUGAGUCUGCCCCCAGAAAUUAAAGGUGUAAGCCACCACCACUGAAAAAAAAAAAAAAAAAAAAAAGUAAAUAGAAUUAGACCCUGUCUCAAAAAACAAAGUUGUCUUAAGCAACCUAGUCACCAGAAUGCCGUCAGCCCCCCAAGUCAAAGAGAGUAGCAGCCACAGAGGAUUCAUAGCGGCUGAGGAAGGAAUGAAGUCCAGGCAUUUUAAUUUUUUUUUUUUCCUGGAACAAAGAUUGUGUGUCCUGAAAACCAUUCUCCAAUGACUCCCGCACAGCUUUAAAAGCCCAGCUUUUCUGGAGGAAACAGCCUCCAACAAGGAAGAGGUCAGGCAAGCUGGU
This is a long non-coding RNA of Arvicola amphibius (Eurasian water vole), 762 nucleotides long. RefSeq lists it as uncharacterized. The transcript has 2 exons. The record is from RefSeq and is a predicted model, not a curated record. Lineage: Eukaryota; Metazoa; Chordata; Mammalia; Rodentia; Cricetidae.